This 253-nucleotide ribosomal RNA is filed under the name uncultured bacterium. Its description in RNAcentral is "partial 16S ribosomal RNA". It matches the Rfam family "Bacterial small subunit ribosomal RNA", at positions 524 to 776 of the family's 1533-position model. The record is from RNAcentral.
GACGAACCGUGCAAACGUUGUUCGGAAUCACUGGGCUUAAAGGGCGCGUAGGCGGUUUCCCAAGUCCGGGGUGAAAUCUUUCGGCUCAACCGGAAAAGGGCCUUGGAUACUGGGAAACUGGAGGGAGGUAGGGGCUGCUGGAACUUCCGGUGGAGCGGUGAAAUGCGUUGAUAUCGGAAGGAACGCCGGUGGCGAAAGCGAGCAGCUGGCCCUCUUCUGACGCUGAGGCGCGAAAGCCAGGGGAGCAAACGGG